This 253-nucleotide ribosomal RNA is filed under the name uncultured bacterium. Its description in RNAcentral is "partial 16S ribosomal RNA". It matches the Rfam family "Bacterial small subunit ribosomal RNA", at positions 524 to 776 of the family's 1533-position model. The record is from RNAcentral.
UACGGAGGGUGCAAACGUUGCUCGGACUCAUUGGGCGUAAAGCGCACGUAGGCGGUCCGGUAAGUCGGAUGUGAAAGCCCUCGGCUCAACCGAGGAAGUGCAUUCGAAACUGUCGGACUAGAGUACGGGAGGGGGAUGCGGAAUUCCCGGUGUAGAGGUGAAAUUCGUAGAUAUCGGGAGGAACACCAGAGGCGAAGGCGGCAUCCUGGACCGAUACUGACGCUGAGGUGCGAAAGCGUGGGGAGCAAACAGG